Molecule: ribosomal RNA, 372 nt
Filed under: uncultured bacterium
Lineage: Bacteria
Description: bacterial SSU rRNA
Rfam family: Bacterial small subunit ribosomal RNA
Source: RNAcentral
UACGUAGGGUGCAAGCGUUGUCCGGAAUUACUGGGUGUAAAGGGAGCGUAGGCGGGAUUGUAAGUUGGAUGUGUAAUGUACCGGCUCAACCGGUAACUUGCAUUCAAAACUGCAGUUCUUGAGUGAAGUAGAGGCAGGCGGAAUUCCUAGUGUAGCGGUGAAAUGCGUAGAUAUUAGGAGGAACACCAGUGGCGAAGGCGGCCUGCUGGGCUUUUACUGACGCUGAGGCUCGAAAGCAUGGGUAGCAAACAGGAUUAGAUACCCUGGUAGUCCAUGCCGUAAACGAUGAUUACUAGGUGUGGGUGUGCAAGCAUCCGUGCCGCAGCUAACGCAAUAAGUAAUCCACCUGGGGAGUACGGCCGCAAGGCUGAA